Molecule: ribosomal RNA, 468 nt
Filed under: uncultured bacterium
Lineage: Bacteria
Description: partial 16S ribosomal RNA
Rfam family: Bacterial small subunit ribosomal RNA
Source: RNAcentral
GACGAACGCUGGCGGCGUGCUUAACACAUGCAAGUCGAACGGAAAGGCCCUGCUUUUGUGGGGUGCUCUAGUGGCGAACGGAUGAGUAACACGUGAGUAACCUGCCCUUGACUUUGGGAUAACUUCAGGAAACUGGGGCUAAUACCUGAUAGGAGCUCCUGCUGCAUGGUGGGGGUUGGAAAGUUUCGGCGGUUGGGGAUGGACUCGCGGCUUAUCAGCUUGUUGGUGGGGUAGUGGCUUACCAAGGCUUUGACGGGUAGCCGGCCUGAGAGGGUGACCGGCCACAUUGGGACAGAGAUACGGCCCAGACUCCUACGGGAGACAGCAGUGGGGAAUAUUGCACAAUGGGCGGAAGCCUGAUGCAGCAACGCCGCGUGCGGGAUGACGGCCUUCGGGUUGUAAACCGCUUUCGCCUGUGACGAAGCGUGAGUGACGGUAAUGGGUAAAGAAGCACCGGCUAACUACGUG